Molecule: ribosomal RNA, 467 nt
Filed under: uncultured bacterium
Lineage: Bacteria
Description: partial 16S ribosomal RNA
Rfam family: Bacterial small subunit ribosomal RNA
Source: RNAcentral
GACGAACGCUGGCGGCGUGCUUAACACAUGCAAGUCGAACGGAAAGGCCCUGCUUUUGUGGGGUGCUCGAGUGGCGAACGGGUGAGUAACACGUGAGUAACCUGCCCUUGACUUUGGGAUAACUUCAGGAAACUGGGGCUAAUACCGGAUAGGAGCUCUGCUGCAUGGGGGGGGGUGGAAAGUUUCGGCGGUUGGGGAUGGGCUCGCGGCUUAUCAGCUUGUUGGUGGGGUAGUGGCUUACCAAGGCUUUGACGGGUAGCCGGCCUGAGAGGGUGACCGGCCACAUUGGGACUGAGAUACGGCCCAGACUCCUACGGGAGGCAGCAGUGGGGAAUAUUGCACAAUGGGCGGAAGCCUGAUGCAGCAACGCCGCGUGCGGGAUGACGGCCUUCGGGUUGUAAACCGCUUUCGCCUGUGACGAAGCGUGAGUGACGGUAAUGGGUAAAGAAGCACCGGCUAACUACGUG